AACUGGCCUGCAAAGUCCCGCC
RNAcentral lists this microRNA (22 nucleotides) under Callorhinchus milii (elephant shark). Its description in RNAcentral is "Cmi-Mir-193-P1a_3p (mature (guide))". The record is from RNAcentral. Lineage: Eukaryota; Metazoa; Chordata; Chondrichthyes; Chimaeriformes; Callorhinchidae.